GGGAGUGGUUGAACUUAGGGUAUCUCCAACUGAAAAUCCCAUGUUUCACUUCAAAAUGCAGUGAAACUCAAAAAUGUCGUGAUUCAUCCCCAAUGGAACUCCAUUUUGCGGGCUUCUGCAAAGGUAAUCGUCUUUCUCCUCUUUGGAACUUUUCUUCGGCAAAUCCGGUUGAGACAGAAAAAUCGAGUAUGUGAAUUGUGCAACACCAAUAUUGGCGUCGCACUGUUCACCCGCAAGCAAACAGCGGAAGAUUUGGCGUUCGGCUGGAGCGACUGAACGAUGCCAUACGCAUGUUUGGCGUUUGGUUGGAUAUGACCUUAAGGUGAUGAGAUAAAUUCAUCUCUCCGACGCCACCAUUUUUUUUUAUACUGAGGCAGAGAUAUAGGAAAGUUGUGCUGCAUGAUGGGGUUGUUGAGCUUCUACUGAGACACCUUCUAUAGAAAUAUCUCCAAUGAAGAAGGGGAGGGUGAGGCCACUAUAAUCAGCUCCAACAAGCACUAUAGUCGUAAAGGAGGCUACGGAAUUGAGGAGGUUGAUAUUUGAGAAGGCCGUGAAUGAGGCUAAGACUGUUAACAUGAGGGUGAACAUGCUUGUGGUGGCUUUGGUGAUAACUGUAGAAGCUAUCCUCUGAAGUGGCCUGUCAUGAGAGCGAAAGUCGAUAGACCUUCAGAGGUGGUGGCGGGCGCAAUUUCAUCACUUUUGGGUUCUCUUUAUUUUAUAAAUCAAAAGGUUUAUGGAGUUUGAUGCUCCUUAGAGCAAGGGAUUUGCUUUUUUAUUUAGUUUCAAAUAUACCUAAGCUAAUAAGGGAAUGUAUCCUACAAAGGAAGCAGCUUUGGGAUUGUUUGGUCCAGCUUGUAGAAUAGAGGAGGAUCAGGUUGGGAAUGCUGUGAGGAUGGCUUGGACAAAGUUACUAAUGAAGUUGAGAUCAUUAACAAGAAGAAUGUUGAUGAAAGAUGGGAAAAUAUAGGGUGGCUUGAAGGGGACAAUCACAAGAGUUAUGAAUGACAAACUUUGUGAGUAGGCUGGAGGAAUUAUUUGUCUAUAUUGCAUCAUUGAAGAAAGUGAUGACUACUCUUGAAGGUGGUGUUGAGCCCUAGAUGGAAAGAUUGUUGAAAAUAUAUUUCUUUUGAGGUUUUUGAUAUAAUAUAGAUGUUAUGAAUCAUAAAGUUGAAGAUAAGUUGAACUAGUAUAGUAUUCACCCUAUCGAAUAAUGCUAAGGGUGUUCAUCUAAAAGCUCUAAGAAAAAUGAUUCUUUGGAGGUUUUUAAGCAAGUCAAAAGGUUACAAUUUAUUAAAGUAUAGAUCAAGAUGAACUAUUAUAGCGACUGACCUAAUAAAUUGGUUGAAGAAUUCAGGAAGGGAGUUAGUUCAAAGGUUGACAAGUUGAGGAUUGGUCUUCUUGUAGAGAAAGUUGCAUGAGAUUUCAUCGAUGCAUUAAUUUGCAGUGGUUAUGCAGUAGAAAGUAAAUUUUGUUAUGAGGUUAUUCUUGUAUUGUAUUUCUUUUGAAUUUAAUGUAAUGAAGUUUAUAUUUGAAGUUAAAUUUCUUUA
Long non-coding RNA from Dendrobium catenatum, 1547 nucleotides. RefSeq lists it as uncharacterized. The transcript has 2 exons. The record is from RefSeq and is a predicted model, not a curated record. NCBI's taxonomy places the organism in Eukaryota, Viridiplantae, Streptophyta, Magnoliopsida, Asparagales, Orchidaceae.